RNAcentral lists this ribosomal RNA (440 nucleotides) under uncultured bacterium. RNAcentral describes it as "partial 16S ribosomal RNA". It matches the Rfam family "Bacterial small subunit ribosomal RNA", at positions 338 to 795 of the family's 1533-position model. The record is from RNAcentral.
CCUACGGGUGGCAGCAGUGGGGAAUAUUGCACAAUGGGGGAAACCCUGAUGCAGCGACGCCGCGUGAGUGAAGAAGUACUUCGGUAUGUAAAGCUCUAUCAGCAGGGAAGAAAAUGACGGUACCUGAGUAAUAAUCCCCGGCUAACUACGUGCCAGCCGCCGCGGUAAUACGUAGGGGGCAAGCGUUAUCCGGAUUUACUGGGUGUAAAGGGAGCGUAGACGGCAGUGCAAGUCUGGAGUGAAAGGCGGGGGCUCAACCCCCGGACUGCUCUGGAAACUGUACGGCUGGAGUGCAGGAGAGGUAAGUGGAAUUCCUAGUGUAGCGGUGAAAUGCGUAGAUAUUAGGAGGAACACCAGUGGCGAAGGCGGCUUACUGGACUGUAACUGACGUUGAGGCUCGAAAGCGUGGGGAGCAAACAGGAUUAGAUACCCGGGUAGUC